CCACCAUCCGCCAGAGGACUACAAAUGAAAAACUUAAAACUCUAAGGACUUGACGGUGUCCCACACCGUCCUAGAGGAGCCUGUCCCCUAAUCGAUACUCCACGCUAAACCUUUCCCCCUCUGGCACCAAAUCAGCCUAUAUACCGCCGUCGCCAGCUCGCCUAAUGAUAGACAACAAAGCAAGCAAAAUAGUCCCACACACUAAUACGUCAGGUCAAGGUGUAGCUAAUGGGGGGGGCUAAAAGAUGGGCUACAUUUUCUUCCCACUAGAAAACUACCACAGGCCAUGUGAAACCUACGCCACCCGGCGGAUUUAGCAGUAAAUCCUGGCAAGACAUGCCUAAUUGAAACCUGCUCUGGGACGCGUACACACCGCCCGUCACCCUCUUCGACCGACCCAAACCCCUCUAACAUAUAACCAUUUCCCCCACCCUAGACGAGGCAAGUCGUAACAUGGUAAGCCUACCGGAAGGUGGGCUUGGCCAACCAC
RNAcentral lists this ribosomal RNA (490 nucleotides) under Phyllodactylus leoni. Its description in RNAcentral is "partial 12S ribosomal RNA". It matches the Rfam family "Bacterial small subunit ribosomal RNA", at positions 862 to 1529 of the family's 1533-position model. Lineage: Eukaryota; Metazoa; Chordata; Lepidosauria; Squamata; Phyllodactylidae. The record is from RNAcentral.